CAGUCGCCACGGUAAUACGGAGGGUGCAAGCGUUAAUCGGAAUUACUGGGCGUAAAGCGCACGCAGGCGGUCUGACAAGUCAGAUGUGAAAUCCCCGGGCUUAACCUGGGAACUGCAUUUGAAACUGUCAGGCUGGAGUCUUGUAGAGGGGGGUGGAAUUCCAGGUGUAGCGGUGAAAUGCGUAGAGAUCUGGAGGAAUACCGGUGGCGAAGGCGGCCCCCUGGACAAAGACUGACGCUCAGGUGCGAAAGCGUGGGGAGCAAACAGGAUUAGAUACCCGUGUAGUCCCUGUCUCUUAACA
This 301-nucleotide ribosomal RNA is filed under the name uncultured bacterium. RNAcentral's name for it is "partial 16S ribosomal RNA". It matches the Rfam family "Bacterial small subunit ribosomal RNA", at positions 509 to 808 of the family's 1533-position model. The record is from RNAcentral.